CCCUGUGGGCACAGACAGACCCACCGCACCAGUUUUACAGUAUUUUCUGUAGCAGAUUUAUCCAAGUUCUUUCUGAAUGUUAGUGAGGGCUCCAGUUUCUUGCUGUUCCAACUUGUGCUAUGAAGGAGAGUCUUGCAAAGAAAUCUUGAAAAAUGGUGCAAUUCCACAGAUGGAAUAAUUCUUGGCAUUAGCCAUGGUAGGUAAAGGUGCACACUUUUAGAACAAAGAGUUCUAAAAGAAAAAGACAACGAGUUCUGCGAGAGAGGAGAGUCCUUGGCCACAUCUCCCAGGGGAUCUGCCAGGGCAUCUGCCUUGCCCACAUUCUCAUCAGUGGUGGUCGUACCCAGUCAGUCUGAUGGAGACAAAUGCCACAUAAGCAACUGUACUUUUGUGUGGGUUUGUUGGGAGGUGGAAUGUCUCUGACAUUUCUGACCAAUGUGAUGAUUCCCUUUUCAAAAGCAACACUUUCUCCUUUGUCCUAGUAAGAAAAUUGAGUCAUGAGGUUGGAGUAGCCCUAGUAUCCCUAGGAUAUCCCUAGGAGGGAUAGUAAUUUUUCUUGUGACUUCUGAAACUUGUGUCACAGAAAAGCAAUUCCAACCCCAAUGUUAUGAAAGUGUUUACUGUGAGUUUUGAUGUCUGGGAUUUCCUCUUCGAACAAAAACUACAUGUAAUCAGUUCCUUCAAUAUGAUGUGGCCAAACAAAAAUCAGACUGUACUGAGGUUAAAAGAAAUCCAGAAUAGGUCACCUGGGACUAGAGGAAGGG
RNAcentral lists this long non-coding RNA (764 nucleotides) under Marmota monax (woodchuck). Lineage: Eukaryota; Metazoa; Chordata; Mammalia; Rodentia; Sciuridae. The record is from RNAcentral.